This 328-nucleotide ribosomal RNA is filed under the name uncultured eukaryote. RNAcentral's name for it is "partial 18S ribosomal RNA". It matches the Rfam family "Eukaryotic small subunit ribosomal RNA", at positions 1470 to 1796 of the family's 1831-position model. The record is from RNAcentral.
CCCUUAGAUGUCCUGGGCCGCACGCGCGUUACACUGAUGCAUUCAACGAGCUUAUAACCUUGGCCGAGAGGCCUGGGCAAUCUUGUUAACGUGCAUCGUGAUAGGGAUAGAUUAUUGAAAUUAUUAAUCUUGAACGAGGAAUUCCUAGUAAACGCAGAUCAUCAAUCUGCAUUGAUUACGUCCCUGCCCUUUGUCCACACCGCCCGUCGCACCUACCGAUUGGAUGGUCCGGUGAAGCCUCGGGAUUGUGGUUCUUGCCGCUUUAUUGUGGCGUGACCGCGAGAACUUGUCUAAACCUUAUCAUCUAGAGGAAGGUGAAGUCGUAACA